UUAAGUUAAUAAGGGCGCACGGUGGAUGCCUUGGCACUAGAAGCCGAUGAAGGACGUGACUAACGACGAAAUGCUUUGGGGAGCUGUAAGUGAGCAAUGAUCCAGAGAUGUCCGAAUGGGGGAACCCGGCAGGUAAUGCCUGUCACUCAUUACUGUUAAGGUAAUGUAGAGGAAGACGCAGUGAACUGAAACAUCUAAGUAGCUGCAGGAAGAGAAAGCAAAAGCGAUUGCCUUAGUAGCGGCGAGCGAAACGGCAAGAGGGCAAACCGAAGAGUUUACUCUUCGGGGUUGUAGGACUGCAACGUGGACUUAAAGAUUAUAGAAGAACUACCUGGGAAGGUAGGCCAAAGAGAGUAAUAGCCUCGUAUUCGAAAUAGUCUUUAUACCUAGCAGUAUCCUGAGUACGGCGAGACACGAGAAAUCUCGUCGGAAUCUGGGAGGACCAUCUCCCAACCCUAAAUACUCUCUAGUGACCGAUAGUGAACCAGUACCGUGAGGGAAAGGUGAAAAGCACCCCGGGAGGGGAGUGAAAUAGAACCUGAAACCGUGUGCCUACAACAAGUUCGAGCCCGUUAAUGGGUGAGAGCGUGCCUUUUGUAGAAUGAACCGGCGAGUUACGAUAUGAUGCGAGGUUAAGUUGAAGAGACGGAGCCGUAGGGAAACCGAGUCUUAAUAGGGCGCAUUAGUAUCAUGUCGUAGACCCGAAACCAUGUGACCUACCCAUGAGCAGGUUGAAGGUGAGGUAAAACUCACUGGAGGACCGAACCAGGGCACGUUGAAAAGUGCUUGGAUGACUUGUGGGUAGCGGAGAAAUUCCAAACGAACUUGGAGAUAGCUGGUUCUCUCCGAAAUAGCUUUAGGGCUAGCGUCGAUGUUAAGUCUCUUGGAGGUAGAGCACUGUUUGGGUGAGGGGUCCAUCCCGGAUUACCAAUCUCAGAUAAACUCCGAAUGCCAACGAGAUAUAAUCGGCAGUCAGACUGCGAGUGCUAAGAUCCGUAGUCGAAAGGGAAACAGCCCAGACCACCAGCUAAGGUCCCAAAAUAUAUGUUAAGUGGAAAAGGAUGUGGGGUUGCACAGACAACUAGGAUGUUAGCUUGGAAGCAGCUAUUCAUUCAAAGAGUGCGUAAUAGCUCACUAGUCGAGUGACCCUGCGCCGAAAAUGUACCGGGGCUAAAACAUAUUACCGAAGCUGUGGAUACCUUUAUAGGUAUGGUAGGAGAGCGUUCUAUGUGCGAAGAAGGUGUACCGUGAGGAGUGCUGGAGCGCAUAGAAGUGAGAAUGCCGGUAUGAGUAGCGAAAGACAGGUGAGAAUCCUGUCCACCGUAAGACUAAGGUUUCCAGGGGAAGGCUCGUCCGCCCUGGGUUAGUCGGGACCUAAGGAGAGACCGAAAGGUGUAUCCGAUGGACAACAGGUUGAUAUUCCUGUACUAGAGUAUAUAGUGAUGGAGGGACGCAGUAGGCUAACUAAACCAGACGAUUGGAAGUGUCUGGCCAAGCAGUGAGGUGUGAUAUGAGUCAAAUGCUUAUAUCUAUAACAUUGAGCUGUGAUGGGGAGCGAAGUUUAGUAGCGAAGUUAGUGAUGUCACACUGCCGAGAAAAGCUUCUAGCGUUAAUUAUACUCUACCCGUACCGCAAACCGACACAGGUAGUCGAGGCGAGUAGCCUCAGGUGAGCGAGAGAACUCUCGUUAAGGAACUCGGCAAAAUGGCCCCGUAACUUCGGGAGAAGGGGCGCUGACUUAUGGUCAGCCGCAGUGAAUAGGCCCAAGCAACUGUUUAUCAAAAACACAGCUCUCUGCUAAAUCGUAAGAUGAUGUAUAGGGGGUGACGCCUGCCCGGUGCUGGAAGGUUAAGAGGAGUGCUUAGCAAUAGCGAAGGUAUGAAUUGAAGCCCCAGUAAACGGCGGCCGUAACUAUAACGGUCCUAAGGUAGCGAAAUUCCUUGUCGGGUAAGUUCC
Molecule: ribosomal RNA, 1956 nt
Filed under: human gut metagenome
Description: bacterial LSU rRNA
Rfam family: Bacterial large subunit ribosomal RNA
Source: RNAcentral